UACGUAGGGUGCAAGCGUUGUCCGGAAUUAUUGGGCGUAAAGAGCUCGUAGGCGGCUCGUCACGUCGGCUGUGAAAACCCGGGGCUCAACCCCGGGCCUGCAGUCGAUACGGGCGAGCUAGAGUUCGGCAGGGGAGACUGGAAUUCCUGGUGUAGCGGUGAAAUGCGCAGAUAUCAGGAGGAACACCGAUGGCGAAGGCAGGUCUCUGGGCCAUAACUGACGCUGAGAAGCGAAAGCAUGGGGAGCGAACAGG
RNAcentral lists this ribosomal RNA (253 nucleotides) under uncultured bacterium. RNAcentral describes it as "partial 16S ribosomal RNA". It matches the Rfam family "Bacterial small subunit ribosomal RNA", at positions 524 to 776 of the family's 1533-position model. The record is from RNAcentral.